RNAcentral lists this ribosomal RNA (253 nucleotides) under uncultured bacterium. RNAcentral's name for it is "partial 16S ribosomal RNA". It matches the Rfam family "Bacterial small subunit ribosomal RNA", at positions 524 to 776 of the family's 1533-position model. The record is from RNAcentral.
UACGUAGGGGGCGAGCGUUGUCCGGAUUCAUUGGGCGUAAAGCGCGCGCAGGCGGUUGGGCGAGCCCGGCGUGAAAGCCCCCAGCUCAACUGGGGAGGGUCACGCGAUACUGAUCGACUCGAAGGCAGGAGAGGGUAGUGGAAUUCCCGGUGUAGUGGUGAAAUGCGUAGAUAUCUGGAGGAACACCGGUGGCGAAGGCGGCAUCCUGGACCGGCAUUGACGCUGAGACGCGAAAGCCAGGGGAGCAAACGGG